This 626-nucleotide ribosomal RNA is filed under the name uncultured Verrucomicrobiota bacterium. Its description in RNAcentral is "bacterial SSU rRNA". It matches the Rfam family "Bacterial small subunit ribosomal RNA", at positions 71 to 680 of the family's 1533-position model. The record is from RNAcentral. Lineage: Bacteria; Pseudomonadati; Verrucomicrobiota.
UCGUUGUAGCAAUACGAUGGAAAGUUUAGUGGCGAACGGGUGCUUAACACGUGGGCAACCUGCCAGGAAGUGGGGGAUAGCUCGCCGAAAGGCGAAUUAAUACCGCGUGUGAUUAGAGAGGACAUCCUUUCGAAAUUAAAGUCGGGGCAACCUGACGCUUCUUGUGGGGCCCGCGGCCUAUCAGCUAGUUGGUGAGGUAACGGCCCACCAAGGCUUUGACGGGUAGCUGGUCUGAGAGGACGACCAGCCACACUGGGACUGAGACACGGCCCAGACACCUACGGGUGGCAGCAGUCGAGAAUUUUUGACAAUGGGGGAAACCCUGAUCGAGCGACGCCGCGUGGAGGAUGAAGGUCUUCGGAUUGUAAACUUCUGUCAUUGGGGAACAAUGCACAGAUAUUAACUGUAUUUGUGUUGAUAGUACCCGAAGAGGAAGAGACGGCUAACUCUGUGCCAGCAGCCGCGGUAAUACAGAGGUCUCAAGCGUUGUUCGGAUUCAUUGGGCGUAAAGGGUGCGUAGGCGGCGCGGUAAGUCGGGUGUGAAAUCUCGGGGCUUAACUCCGAAACUGCAUUCGAUACUGCCGUGCUUGAGGACUGGAGAGGAGACUGGAAUUCACGGUGUAGCA